AACGAACGCUGGCGGCAGGCCUAACACAUGCAAGUCGAGCGAGGUAGCAAUACCUAGCGGCGGACGGGUGAGUAACGCGUGGGAACGUGCCCUUUGGUACGGAAUAGCCCCGGGAAACUGGGAGUAAUACCGUAUAAGCUCUUCGGAGGAAAGAUUUAUCGCCAAAGGAUCGGCCCGCGUUGGAUUAGGUAGUUGGUGAGGUAACGGCUCACCAAGGCGACGACGGGUAGCCGGCCUGAGAGGGUGACCGGCCACACUGGGACUGAGACACGGCCCAGACUCCUACGGGAGGCAGCAGUGGGGAAUAUUGCACAAUGGGCGCAAGCCUGAUGCAGCAACGCCGCGUGAGGGAUGACGGCCUUCGGGUUGUAAACCUCUUUUAGUAGGGAAGAAGCGAAAGUGACGGUACCUGCAGAAAAGCACCGGCUAACUACGUG
This 437-nucleotide ribosomal RNA is filed under the name uncultured bacterium. Its description in RNAcentral is "bacterial SSU rRNA". It matches the Rfam family "Bacterial small subunit ribosomal RNA", at positions 29 to 507 of the family's 1533-position model. The record is from RNAcentral.